UUACCUGGAGUAUGGUACGUCACUGAUGUCUCACCUGGAGUAUGGUACGUCACUGAUGUCAGACCUGGAGUAUGGUACGUCACUGAUGUCUCACCUGGAGUAUGGUACGUCACUGAUGUCUCACCUGGAGUAUGGUACGUCACUGAUGUCAGACCUGGAGUAUGGUACGUCACUGAUGUCUCACCUGGAGUAUGGUACGUCACUGAUGUCAGACCUGGAGUAUGGUACGUCACUGAUGUCAGACCUGGAGUAUGGUACGUCACUGAUGUCUUACCUGCACCACCUUACUACCUGUCUAAGCCACGGCUACUUUGUAUUGACUAGAGCUGCCUGUAGAAGUACCAAAUCAAAGGUUUUAAGACACCGGGAUGGACAUCAAUGAUGACGUGCCCAAGUCAGACGUAAACAAGGAGUACUACAAACAAUAUGGAGAGAGACGUAUGGAGGGGGAGAGGAGGCUUCAGCCCUGUUAUUUCUGUGAUCACAUAUUCAACAGCCAGUGUUUUCCCCUGUUACCUCCCUCAUCUCCCCGACUCCCUGUGCCCCCAGAUAGGGAACUCUGACAGGACACGGCCGGAGGGUCUCCUGGGUAAGGCCCCCUGCUCCAGUGAGAUGCUGCUGAAGCUGACCCUAUUACAAGAGGAAUAAACCCCACAUCUGCUCCUUCUGGGUUAAGGGAGAGUACAAGAGAGGAGUGUCCCUACAGCCCAGGCACGAGAGGCCCACAGACCCAGACGAUGCCCUGGCAGACUAGAACAUUAUGGACCAUUACUAUGGUAUUAACGACCCUGUGGCUGACAAGCUGCUGAAACGAGCCUCCACCAUGCCCCCACCAUGCCCCAACUGGAUACGCCCAAGGAUACCAUACUCGAUGUAGGGGGGCUUCCAAAAUAUCCGACAAGGAUAUUUGGGGCAGUUUCAACGAUCUGUGACAGUUGGUUGUGGUGUGCUCCUACAGGAAUCGCUUCUACCAGUUUGGGGAGAUCUGGGAAGGCAGCCAGAGGGAAGGGUCAUGAACCUCUCCCUACCUCCCGGUACCUCUCCCUACCUCCCGGUACCUCUCCCUACCUACCGGUACCUCUCCGAAUGUCAUGAACCUCUCCUUGACCCCCAGUACCUCUCCUAAUGUCAUGAACCUCUCCCUACCUCCUGGUACCUCUCCUAAUGUCAUGAACCUCUCCUUGACCCCCAGUACCUUUCCUAAUGUCAUGAACCUCUCCCUACCUACCGGUACCUCUCCUAAUGUCAUGAACCUCUCCCUACCUCCCGGUACCUCUCCUAAUGUCAUGAACCUCUCCCUACCCUCCCGUACCUCUCCUAAUGUCAUGAACCUCUCCCUACCUCCCGG
Long non-coding RNA from Oncorhynchus masou masou (cherry salmon), 1348 nucleotides. RefSeq lists it as uncharacterized. Lineage: Eukaryota; Metazoa; Chordata; Actinopteri; Salmoniformes; Salmonidae. The transcript has 3 exons. The record is from RefSeq and is a predicted model, not a curated record.